This 468-nucleotide ribosomal RNA is filed under the name uncultured bacterium. Its description in RNAcentral is "partial 16S ribosomal RNA". It matches the Rfam family "Bacterial small subunit ribosomal RNA", at positions 28 to 507 of the family's 1533-position model. The record is from RNAcentral.
GACGAACGCUGGCGGCGUGCUUAACACAUGCAAGUCGAACGGAAAGGCCCUGCUUUUGUGGGGUGCUCGAGUGGCGAACGGGUGAGUAACACGUGAGUAACCUGCCCUUGACUUUGGGAUAACUUCAGGAAACUGGGGCUAAUACCGGAUAGGAGCUCCUGCUGCAUGGUGGGGGUUGGAAAGUUUCGGCGGUUGGGGAUGGACUCGCGGCUUAUCAGCUUGUUGGUGGGGUAGUGGCUUACCAAGGCUUUGACGGGUAGCCGGCCUGAGAGGGUGACCGGCCACAUUGGGACUAAGAGACGGCCCAGACGCCUACGGGAGGCAACAGUGGGAAAUAUUGCACAAUGGGCGGAAGCCUGAUACAGCGACGCCGCGUGCGGAAUGACGGCCUUCGGGUUGUAAACCGCUUUCGCCUGUGACGAAGCGUGAGUGACGGUAAUUGGUAAAGAAGCACCGGCUAACUACGUG